UCAUUUAUUCUUUAUUAUUAUUAUCAUUGCCUCUAUUUUACAGAUAAAGAAACUAAGGCCCAGGGAAGUUAAGUGACUUGCCCAGGGUCGCACAGCUAGCAAGUGAAAGAACCUGGAUUCCAUGGUGGUUGAUCAAGAACCAGACUGACCUCUUAACCAUACAAGAACAACCCUGGAAAUCCACCCAGGUGUUUCCAAGAAUAAUCUUCAGCUUCAACACCAACCAAAAGAUUUCCCGACAAAGGGAGCUUUCUCUUUGGAAGAGCAAUUCUGAUUGAACUGAAUGUCCUCUGUAUAAGGGCAUAAGUCAAGUGCAAGAUUUCGGACUCAAAGAGAGAAGGAACCAUCUCUGCAUGUUUCAUCCCUGUCUCCAAGUCCCCACCAGACAAGAUACGCAAUGAAUUGUGUGGCUUCAGCGAAUGACUAAAAUGAAGACAUUAGCACCUGUCUCCAGGAUCUCCUGCGGAAGUAAAGGAGAUUGUGUGCAGUUGAGUGCAUUACAGGCCAUUAAAUGCCGC
RNAcentral lists this long non-coding RNA (518 nucleotides) under Pan troglodytes (chimpanzee). RNAcentral's name for it is "lncRNA (ENSPTRG00000053679.1)". Lineage: Eukaryota; Metazoa; Chordata; Mammalia; Primates; Hominidae. The record is from RNAcentral.